This is a long non-coding RNA of Vitis vinifera (wine grape), 1503 nucleotides long. RefSeq lists it as uncharacterized. The record is from RefSeq and is a predicted model, not a curated record. Lineage: Eukaryota; Viridiplantae; Streptophyta; Magnoliopsida; Vitales; Vitaceae. The transcript has 6 exons.
AAAAGAGAAAAACCCUUCGAAAAGCCACAAAACCAAUAUCUCUCUCGUAUUCUGCUUUUCCCCUUCUCUCUCCCAUUCUCAAUCUCAGAAACCCAAAAUGUUGUAAAACCUAACCUCUUUCAUUUCUGUAACAUUCUCGUCUCCCAUUUUCGUAACCUUUUCCCCAAAUUACUUGAUCCAGAAACCCUAAUUUCUAAAACGAAGAUCAGAUCCGGGGAAAAUUGGUAAUCAGAAUCAAUGGUGGGUGCAUCGAGCUCAUGGUCUCGCGCAUUGGUUCAGAUCUCACCCUCCACUUUCUCCGUCAUCGGUAUCGCCAUCGGCAUCGGCGUUUCCGUCUUGGGUGCCGCUUGGGGAAUUUAUAUAACUGGAAGUAUUUUAAUUGGUGCCAUCAAAGCUCCUCGGAUUACUUCAAAAAAUAUGAUUAGAUGAGUACUUCAACUUUCUUUCUUUCUUUUUUUCUCGCUGGUUUUAUGGAUCAUUGAUGUGGUAUUACAUUGACUGGCUUAUUAAUGAGAGGUAACUGACAACUUCCAUGUGUAAAAAAAAUUGAAUUAUGCCACCACUUGCUAGAUUGUCCGGGCAUAGGUUACAUGGUCGUAGGAUAAGCUGAUACGCCUAUUUACCAUCAAUAUCAAUGAGUGUCAAUUCUGAAAUCUUACUGAACAUACAUUUGGACAAAUCAAUAUCAAUAUUGCGGCCAAUAUUUCAGUAUGGUUCAUGUUGAUAUUCUAUAAUAUUAUUGGUAUUCCUCAUUUACUUUGAUGAACUGAAGAUUUUUGUGCUCAUUUCCUAUGCAAUACUUCCUUGUUUUGAGCUUAAUUUGAAGACUCAUUCAAGAUUGCUGCUAAAUUCACAAAGUAUCGGCACGUUGUUGGUGACUUGGAGGCAUGAAGGGGCAAUUUAGGAACAUAAAAAGGAGUCAGCAGAGAGUGCAUAAAAAUGAUAAUAUUUUCCACUUUGACGAAGUUCUAUGCAAGUAACUAAACAAUUGUGUCAAGUAGUUGUGGGAGAAAGAGAUGGACAAAUCCAAAAAAGAGAAUGGAUAUAAAGGAAGUAAUAGGGGAAAAUCAGCUAAUCAUGUGAGUGAAGUAGAGCUUGGAAGGGCUACUUGGACUUUUCUCCAUACUCUUGCAGCUCAGAGCCAAUCCUGUACAAGCUGGAUCUCAAGCUGAGUUCUCACAGUGGCUAUGUCACGUGCACAAUGUCGUUAACAGAAGCCUUAAUAAACCAAUAUUUCCUUGUAAGAGAGUUAAUGCAAGGUGGGGCAAGCUGAAAUGUGAGCUGCGUGCAUGUUAUCUGCAAGGAACUCCGGAUUUUGGUGAAGGAUGACAUUAACAUAAUUACCAUAAACCAUCAACUAAUGUUAUUGUUUGAUUUUCAGUGUUACUAUUGCAAAUAAUAAGAGUCAUAUGAAAUUAAUUAAUAUAGGAAAUCAUUUGAAUGUCUUGUAUAACUCUCUUUGGUAUUGUAUAAAACAAAAUCAGUUUCCCUUAACUAUUUCAA